This 563-nucleotide ribosomal RNA is filed under the name uncultured bacterium. RNAcentral describes it as "bacterial SSU rRNA". It matches the Rfam family "Bacterial small subunit ribosomal RNA", at positions 338 to 916 of the family's 1533-position model. The record is from RNAcentral.
CCUACGGGAGGCAGCAGUGGGGAAUUUUCCGCAAUGGGCGAAAGCCUGACGGAGCAACGCCGCGUGAGGGAUGAAGGCCUCUGGGCUGUAAACCUCUUUUAUCAAGGAAGAAGAUCUGACGGUACUUGAUGAAUAAGCCACGGCUAAUUCCGUGCCAGCAGCCGCGGUAAUACGGGAGUGGCAAGCGUUAUCCGGAAUUAUUGGGCGUAAAGCGUCCGCAGGCGGUCUUGUAAGUCUGUCGUUAAAGCGUGGAGCUUAACUCCAUUUCGGCGGUGGAAACUACAAGACUAGAGUGUGGUAGGGGCAGAGGGAAUUCCCGGUGUAGCGGUGAAAUGCGUAGAUAUCGGGAAGAACACCAGUGGCGAAGGCGCUCUGCUGGGCCAUAACUGACGCUCAUGGACGAAAGCUAGGGGAGCGAAAGGGAUUAGAUACCCCUGUAGUCCUAGCCGUAAACGAUGAACACUAGGUGUCGGGGAAUCGACCCCCUCGGUGUCGUAGCUAACGCGUUAAGUGUUCCGCCUGGGGAGUACGCACGCAAGUGUGAAACUCAAAGGAAUUGACGG